Molecule: transfer RNA, 75 nt
Filed under: Zoogloeaceae bacterium
Lineage: Bacteria; Pseudomonadati; Pseudomonadota; Betaproteobacteria; Rhodocyclales; Zoogloeaceae
Description: tRNA-Thr
Rfam family: tRNA
About the family: Transfer RNA (tRNA) molecules are approximately 80 nucleotides in length. Their secondary structure includes four short double-helical elements and three loops (D, anti-codon, and T loops).
Source: RNAcentral
GCCCAUGUGGCUCAGUGGUAGAGCACUCCCUUGGUAAGGGAGAGGUCGACAGUUCAAUCCUGUCCAUGGGCACCA